GACGAACGCUGGCGGCGUGCCUAAUACAUGCAAGUAGAACGCACAGUAUAUACCGUAGCUUGCUACACCAUAGACUGUGAGUUGCGGACGGGUGAGUAACGCGUAGGUAACCUGCCUGGUAGCGGGGGAUAACUAUUGGAAACGAUAGCUAAUACCGCAUAAUAUUAAUUAUUGCAUGAUAAUUGAUUGAAAGAUGCAACUGCAUCACUACCAGAUGGACCUGCGUUGUAUUAGCUAGUAGGUGAGGUAACGGCUCACCAAGGCGACGAUACAUAGCCGACCUGAGAGGGUGAUCGGCCACACUGGGACUGAGACACGGCCCAGACUCCUACGGGAGGCAGCAGUAGGGAAUCUUCGGCAAUGGGGGGAACCCUGACCGAGCAACGCCGCGUGAGUGAAGAAGGUUUUCGGAUCGUAAAGCUCUGUUGUAAGAGAAGAACGGGUGUGAGAGUGGAAAGUUCACACUGUGACGGUAUCUUACCAGAAAGGGACGGCUAACUACGUGCCAGCAGCCGCGGUAAUACGUAGGUCCCGAGCGUUGUCCGGAUUUAUUGGGCGUAAAGCGAGCGCAGGCGGUUAGAUAGGUCUGAAGUUAAAGGCUGCGGCUUAACCAUAGUAUGCUUUGGAAACUGUUUAACUUGAGUGCAGAAGGGGAGAGUGGAAUUCCAUGUGUAGCGGUGAAGUGCGUAGAUAUAUGGAGGAACACCGGUGGUGAAAGCGGCUCUCUGUUCUGUAACUGACGCUGAGGCUCGAAAGCGUGGGGGGGGAAACAAGAUUAUAUUCCUCUCUUGUCUUGGGGGGAGUUUACACGGGUGAUCAGUUUCUCC
RNAcentral lists this ribosomal RNA (827 nucleotides) under uncultured Streptococcus sp. Its description in RNAcentral is "bacterial SSU rRNA". It matches the Rfam family "Bacterial small subunit ribosomal RNA", at positions 28 to 841 of the family's 1533-position model. Lineage: Bacteria; Bacillati; Bacillota; Bacilli; Lactobacillales; Streptococcaceae. The record is from RNAcentral.